AAUCCAUUCUAAACCUGCAUCUCAUCCUUUGAAAACUACCCACCUGCAGCAGUUGGUGUCCUGCAGCCACACUGGUACCGCCCGACCCAUCUCUGCUCCCAGAUACUGAUGACUGGUGUUGAGGGAGACUCCCCUCCCUGCAGCCAACAGUGACAAAACGGUGAGAGUCAUGCUUCCAGGAAUCUAGACUAAAGUUCCCUGGGGGCCUUGCGGCCUCUGUGGCACUCUCUAGUGGAGAGUCGGCCAGCGCAGAGCUGAAGCAUCCUGGACGUGCUGGGGUAGAGGAAGCUGUUUGUAAAGGAAGACAAGAGAUGCACCUAGAAGAAACAGAGACCAUGCAGUCCCCAGUGGACAGGAACUGUCCUUUGUUCUCCACUUCCCAUUCUCUCAGAGACCUGGCUGGAAUACCUCACCUCAAGUUCCUCCAGGAAACAUCUACAUACUUCCAAGAGCCUCCCCUAGUUCAGGAUAUUCCGGGUACCUGGUUCCAAGAAGACUUUGAGCCCCGCAGCUUCAUACACUUCCACAGCUUCAUACACUCUGGGAAGGAUGAGUUCCUGCUCCAAGCCUGCCCACAGGGCGCACGCUGGUGUAUCAGCCCAAGACUGUGACCACUGCACUAGGCUCCAUCACAGUUGCCUAGCAACAGUUGGUCUUUGGAUUGCACAGCAUGGCACGGAGACCCAUGCCUGGAAAGUUAGAAAUCUCCACGAGUGAAGAUGAGUCUGAGAAGCGGUAAGAGAAAGGGGUGCCAGCAAGAUGUAAAUGAUCAUGCACGGCACAGCCAAGGUAACUGCACAAAGCUUCACAGCGUGUGUGAUGUGUGGUCCAUUCUUGUGGCACCACUCAUCCCAGAGAUGGAGCUAACCACAGUACUUUACUCUGCAAAGCUUUCUAAAUCUUUCUCUCUAGAAUGAAUAAAAUUCCUGUAAAUGCAAG
RNAcentral lists this long non-coding RNA (939 nucleotides) under Chinchilla lanigera (long-tailed chinchilla). RNAcentral describes it as "lncRNA (ENSCLAG00000023419.1)". Lineage: Eukaryota; Metazoa; Chordata; Mammalia; Rodentia; Chinchillidae. The record is from RNAcentral.